Molecule: ribosomal RNA, 229 nt
Filed under: uncultured bacterium
Lineage: Bacteria
Description: partial 16S ribosomal RNA
Rfam family: Bacterial small subunit ribosomal RNA
Source: RNAcentral
UGCGUAGGCGGCCCGUUAAGUCAGGGGUGAAAUCCCGCAGCUCAACUGCGGAACUGCCCUUGAUACUGGCGGGCUCGGAUUGGCGCGAGGCGGGCGGAACGUGGCAUGUAGCGGUGAAAUGCUUAGAUAUGCCACAGAACACCGAUUGCGUAGGCAGCUUGCCAGAGCCAUAUCGACGCUGAGGCACGAAAGCGUGGGGAGCGAACAGGAUUAGAUACCCUGGUAGUCC